RNAcentral lists this ribosomal RNA (260 nucleotides) under uncultured archaeon. RNAcentral describes it as "partial 16S ribosomal RNA". It matches the Rfam family "Archaeal small subunit ribosomal RNA", at positions 748 to 1008 of the family's 1478-position model. The record is from RNAcentral.
AGGGUGUAAACGCUGCAGACUUGGUGUUGGAAGUCCUUUGGGGGCAUUCAGUGCCGGAGAGAAGUUGUUAAGUCUGCUACUUGGGGAGUACGUCCGCAAGGAUGAAACUUAAAGGAAUUGGCGGGGGAGCACCGCAACGGGAGGAGCGUGCGGUUUAAUUGGAUUCAACACCGUAAACUCACCAGGGAAGACUGUUACAUGAAGGCCGAGAUGAAGACUCUGCCAGAUUUUCAGAGAGGUGGUGCAUGGCGUCAGUGACU